RNAcentral lists this ribosomal RNA (539 nucleotides) under uncultured bacterium. RNAcentral's name for it is "bacterial SSU rRNA". It matches the Rfam family "Bacterial small subunit ribosomal RNA", at positions 776 to 1304 of the family's 1533-position model. The record is from RNAcentral.
AAAUAGAUACCCUGGUAGUCCUAGCCUUAAACGAUGGGUACUGGGUAGAAAGCGCUCCGAUAGCGCCUUCUGCCGUAGCGAAAGUGUUAAGUACCCCGCCUGGGGAGUAUGGUCGCAAGGCUGAAACUCAAAGGAAUUGACGGGGGCUCACACCAGCGGUGGAGCAUGUGGCUUAAUUCGAGGCUACGCGAAGAACCUUAUCCUAGAUUUGACAUGCACGGAUUAGCCGGUGGAAACAUCGGUGACGCGGCUUGCCGUGGAACGUGCACAGGUGCUGCAUGGCUGUCGUCAGCUCGUGUUGUGAGAUGUCGGGUUAAGUCCCUUAACGAGCGAAACCUUUGUCCUUAGUUACCAGCGGUUCGGCCGGGCACUCUAAGGAGACUGCCGGUGUCAAGCCGGAGGAAGGUGGAGAUGACGUCAAGUCCUCAUGGCCUUUAUGUCUAGGGCUGCACACGUGCUACGAAUGGGAGGUACAAAGGGACGCAAGUUCGCGAGAACAAGCAAAUCCCAAAAACGCCUUCCUCAGUUCGGAUUGCAGG